CCCAAAGGGAACAAUGGAUUUCAUUAUUGGAAAUCAACACAAUUAAAAAGAACAUAUUUGUUUAUUCAGAUCACAUCCUUAGAAGUGAUUUCUUAUAUAAGGAAGAUAAUAUUAUCAGGGCCAGACUUUAUUAAAAAAAUCAGCUCUACCUUAAAGGUAUUUUUUUUUAAAUAUAUGUUUCUAGUAUAAAAAAAUCGUCACAAAAAGUAUUAGUGUUACUCAUAUAAGCUUUAUUUAUACCUAAUACUUAUUAAAUUAGGUAUGUGUGUAAAACUAUUUUUUUACUAGGAUUUCUGAUGCACUGGUUAAAAACACAGCAGCCGAUAAUUCAGUUAAUUUACCAAGUGAUUUACCCUUCAAAGCUGCAGGGGUAGUUUUCCUGAAGAGUGCAAAAAUUUCUUUAGAUUCCAAAAUGGUAUAUAGUACAAACAGUGAAGCUAAUAUACACAAAUCUGAUCAUUCAUCAACAAUAACUGCAUCUGAGAUUAAUUGUUACCGUCUAGGUUUAGAUCAACAAUUACUAUUUUCUCAUCCAAGCCGUUUUUGUUUAACUGCUACAAAUUCCCUGACUCUGCCAAGGAAAAGGGUAAAAUCAAAAUGAUAUCCUGAGGACCUAAGCACUGAUGAUUCCACCGUUUCAAAAGCUAAAUCACUUGUCACCAAAUUAUGGAAAAAAAAUAAAGAACAAAAAAAUAAAAUUCGAAGAUUGCAACAAACAAAUUUGCGGCAAAGAAAUUGAAUUAGAUGUCUCAAGUCAUUAUUAAAAUACUUAAGAAAUAAUAACAAGAUUUUCGAAAAAGCCCAACAUACUACAUAUUUUAUUUAACUUGUAAAAGUACUUGUUUGUAUAUUAGUACUAAUAAACUAUCUAAUCUAAGCUAUUGUACAUAGUCUUUAUUCUUAGGUAAGCUUUGUUUUUUAGUAUAAAUUAAUAUGAUAUAAUAAUUGGUAUUAGGUAUUAUAUAGGUCACUGUUAAAUGUCUGAAAACGAUUGUACAGGCUAAAUACUCAUAAUAAAAAUCUUAUAACCUAUAAAGAACCUGCAACUCCUUCACAAUUUAAACAUCCUUUUAGUUUUAACUCUUUCCGCUAAAGCAAUACUGUCCCUUUGAAAAAGUCAGCACCAUAGAAGUAUAUAUUAUGUUAUAUAAAGUAAGUGAUGUAAAACUGAGUUUUGUUCAAUAUAACAAUAACAAUGAAAUGUUGCAAAAUGUUAAAAAUGUAUGUCUUAAAACAUGAUUUAUUAAGAAAUCUAUAAUAUUAUAUUAAUUAAACAUUUAAUUUCCAUAAAAAUGCUGCCUUUUAUUAGGACCUUCCUCUAACGAAGUCCGUUAAAAAAAUACAUAAAUAGCUCAUAAAUGGUAAUAUUACUUAUACUCAAACUCUAUAAUAAUUAAUAAAAAUUUAACAGGUAAAUAUUUG
Molecule: long non-coding RNA, 1422 nt
Filed under: Anthonomus grandis grandis
Lineage: Eukaryota; Metazoa; Arthropoda; Insecta; Coleoptera; Curculionidae
Description: uncharacterized LOC126746825
Source: RNAcentral